RNAcentral lists this non-coding RNA (1453 nucleotides) under Desulfotomaculum copahuensis. RNAcentral describes it as "Bacterial large subunit ribosomal RNA". It matches the Rfam family "Bacterial large subunit ribosomal RNA", at positions 391 to 1892 of the family's 2925-position model. The record is from Rfam by way of RNAcentral. Lineage: Bacteria; Bacillati; Bacillota; Clostridia; Eubacteriales; Desulfotomaculaceae.
AAAUACCGAGUGGGAUCCAGAGUACCACAGGAUAGGCAACCCGGUGGGAAGACGGGAGGACCAUCUCCCAAGGCUAAAUACUCCUAAGUGACCGAUAGCGCAUAGUACCGUGAGGGAAAGGUGAAAAGAACCCCGGGAGGGGAGUGAAAGAGAACCUGAAACCAUAUGUCCACAAGCAGUGGAAGCGAAAGCGACCACGUACUUUUUGUAGAACGGACCGGCGAGUUAUAGAUAUGCAGCGAGGUUAAGCGAAAGCGGAGCCGAAGCGAAAGCGAGUCUUAAAAGGGCGAAAGUUGCAUAUCAUAGACCCGAAACCGUGCGACCUACCCAUGAUCAGGGUGAAGCCGGAGUAAGAUCUGGUGGAGGCCCGAACCACGUUGACGUUGAAAAGUCAUGGGAUGAAUUGUGGGUAGCGGAGAAAUUCCAAUCGAGCUCGGAGAUAGCUGGUUCUCCCCGAAAUAGCUUUAGGGCUAGCCUCAGGGGGAAGGAAAUAUGGAGGUAGAGCACUGAAUGGACUAGGGGCCAAAGAGGUUACCGAACCCUAUCAAACUCCGAAUGCCAUAUUGAGACCCUGGGAGUCAGACUACGAGUGAUAAGAUCCGUGGUCAAAAGGGAAAGAGCCCAGACCGACAGCUAAGGUCCCAAAGAGCAUGUUAAGUGGAAAAGGAAGUAGGAUUUCCAAGACAACCAGGAUGUUGGCUUAGAAGCAGCCAUACAUUCAAAGAGUGCGUAAUAGCUCACUGGUCGAGAAAUCCCGCGCCGAAAAUAAACGGGGCUAAAACAUGCCACCGAAGCUACGGAUUCUGAAAAGAAUGGUAGGGGAGCGUACUGUACAGGACGAAGGAUAAGCGAAAGCGAAUCUGGACAGUACAGUAGAGAGAAUGCCGGUAUAAGUAACGAGAGUAAGGCGAGAAACCUUACCGUCGAAAGCCUAAGGAUUCCUGGGGAAGGAUAAUCCGCCCAGGGUAAGUCGGGACCUAAGCCGAGGCGAAAGCGUAGGCGAUGGAGAACCGGUAAUAAAUCCGGUACCACCGAAAUCCGCUAAAAGAGAAGCAAGGACGCAGCGAGAUAAGAAAAGCGUGCGGUUGGUAGAGCACGUCCAAGCAGCGACGAAAAGAGCUUUGAGUGAAGUACCAAAGCUCAUAAGAGCUGUGAUGGGGAGCCGAAAGGCGAAGUUUCGAAGGGGCUGCCAAGAAAAGUUGCUAUCGAGGAUAAGGUGCCCGUACCACAAACCGACACAGGUAGGCGAGGAGAGAAUCCAAAGACGAGCGGGAGAACCCUCAUUAAGGAACUCGGCAAAAAGACUCCGUAACUUCGGGAGAAGGAGUGCCGAAAGGCCGCAGAGAAGAGGCCCAAGCGACUGUUUACCAAAAACACAGGUUUCUGCUAAGUCGAAAGACGAAGUAUAGGAGCUGACGCCUGCCCGGUGCUGGAAGGUUAAGGGGAAGGGUCA